RNAcentral lists this ribosomal RNA (439 nucleotides) under uncultured soil bacterium. Its description in RNAcentral is "bacterial SSU rRNA". It matches the Rfam family "Bacterial small subunit ribosomal RNA", at positions 26 to 518 of the family's 1533-position model. The record is from RNAcentral.
AGAACGAACGCUGGCGGCAUGCCUAACACAUGCAAGUCGAACGAGACCUUCGGGUCUAGUGGCGCACGGGUGCGUAACGCGUGGGGAUCUACCCUUGGGUUCGGAAUAACAGUUGGAAACGACUGCUAAUACCGGAUGAUGUCGCAAGACCAAAGAUUUAUCGCCCAAGGAUGAGCCCGCGUAGGAUUAGCUAGUUGGUGAGGUAAAGGCUCACCAAGGCGACGAUCCUUAGCUGGUCUGAGAGGAUGAUCAGCCACACUGGGACUGAGACACGGCCCAGACUCCUACGGGAGGCAGCAGUGGGGAAUAUGGACAAUGGGCGAAAGCCUGAUCCAGCAAUGCCGCGUGAGUGAUGAAGCCUUAGGUGUAAAGCUCUUUUACCGGAUGAUAAUGACAGUACCGGAGAAUAAGCUCCGGCUAACUCCGUGCCAGCAGCCGC